This 492-nucleotide ribosomal RNA is filed under the name uncultured bacterium. RNAcentral describes it as "partial 16S ribosomal RNA". It matches the Rfam family "Bacterial small subunit ribosomal RNA", at positions 29 to 507 of the family's 1533-position model. The record is from RNAcentral.
AUUGAACGCUGGCGGCAUGCUUUACACAUGCAAGUCGAGCGGUAACAGGCUUUCGGGUGCUGACUAGUGGCGACCGGGGGCGUAAGGCAGCGGAACGUACCCAGAGGUGGGGGUUAACGCAGCGAAAGCUGUGCUAAUACCGCAUAUGAUCGGAGAAUGAAAGCGGGGGACAGAGCAGCAAUGUUUGGCCUCGCGCGUUUGGAGCGGCCGAUGUCGGAUUAGCUAGUUGGUGGGGUAAAGGCCUACCAAGGCGACGAUCCGUAGCUGGUCUGAGAGGAUGAUCAGCCACACUGGAACUGAGACACGGUCCAGACUCCUACGGGAGGCAGCAGUGGGGAAUUUUGGACAAUGGGCGCAAGCCUGAUCCAGCAAUGCCGCGUGGGGGAAGAAGGCCUUCGGGUUGUAAAGCGCUUUUGGUAGGAAAGAAACGCUGUCGGCUAAUACCGGGCGGUAAUGACGGUACCUGAAGAAUAAGCACCGGCUAACUACGUG